This is a long non-coding RNA of Cydia pomonella (codling moth), 783 nucleotides long. RefSeq lists it as uncharacterized. The transcript has 2 exons. The record is from RefSeq and is a predicted model, not a curated record. NCBI's taxonomy places the organism in Eukaryota, Metazoa, Arthropoda, Insecta, Lepidoptera, Tortricidae.
UGUGAUUACGAAACCCUAAAAAGGAGACGUCCAUAGCUAAAUCAUAUUUGACCUUUAGUUUAGUAUUUGACUUUCAAUGACGUAAAUCUGUUUUUCUGACAUUACCUGGUAGUUGAAGUCCAGUGGCGUAACUACAGGGUGGAAAAUCGGGGAAAAUGACACGCGUCCCUGGUUCAAGAGGCCCGGGGCCUCAAUAUGACCGAGAAGCCGUGAGCUCGGGCCCUCAUUGCCCAGCCCACGGCUCUCAGUUCGUCCUAUUUGUCGGUAUAUAUAUAUACGCCACUAUAGAACACUGUUAAUUCUGCUACUUAGACGUAUUAUAUGUAUCAUAUGAAAUGCAAAAGAUUAGAUCCUAAAUUUUACUUUUACGACCAAUAGAUAACCGAAAUUGAAAUCAAUACAUGUUUCAAAUCAAUUUUCUACAGUGAAUCUCGUUUAAAAUUCCAGAUGAUUAACAGUAGCUACCAUCUUUCUGUGUUUGGUCCUACGAAUUUAUAAGAAAUAUUCAGACCAGACAAAACCAUAUUACAGAUAACACCGUCAUGACGAAGAUUCUUGUGAUUAUUACGGUAACAUUGGUGUUAUAUGCGAAGAAGAUCCAAGGACAGAAAAUACCCGGCGGCGAAACAACUCCCGAGAUCUCCUACCUACCGAUAAACUACAACGACGAGAUGUGCACAGACCUCGCAUGCAUCGAUGCGUGCUGGUUGAGAAUGAGACGCAACACGGGCUACUGCUACAGCCCUGACCUGUGCGUGUGUUAUGACAAGUAAACUUAUGUCA